This 1019-nucleotide ribosomal RNA is filed under the name uncultured bacterium. Its description in RNAcentral is "bacterial SSU rRNA". It matches the Rfam family "Bacterial small subunit ribosomal RNA", at positions 28 to 1093 of the family's 1533-position model. The record is from RNAcentral.
GAUGAACGCUGACGGUCUGCUUAACACAUGCAAGUCGAACGGGGGUAGCAAUACCCUAGUGGCGGACGGGUGAGUAACGCGUGAGAAUCUGCCUUCAGGUUGGGGACAACCACUGGAAACGGUGGCUAAUACCCAAUGUGCUUCACGGUGAAAGACUUAUCGCCUGAAGAGGAGCUCGCGUCUGAUUAGCUAGUUGGUAGGGUAAAAGCCUACCAAGGCGACGAUCAGUAGCUGGUCUGAGAGGAUGAUCAGCCACACUGGGACUGAGACACGGCCCAGACUCCUACGGGAGGCAGCAGUGGGGAAUUUUCCGCAAUGGGCGAAAGCCUGACGGAGCAAGACCGCGUGAGGGAGGAAGGCUCUUGGGUUGUAAACCUCUUUUCUCAGGGAAGAACACAAUGACGGUACCUGAGGAAUCAGCCUCGGCUAACUCCGUGCCAGCAGCCGCGGUAAUACGGAGGAGGCAAGCGUUAUCCGGAAUUAUUGGGCGUAAAGCGUCCGCAGGUGGCUCGCUCAAGUCUGCUGUCAAAGACCGGGGCUUAACUCCGGAAAGGCAGUGGAAACUGACAAGCUAGAGGGCUCUAGGGGUAGAGGAAUUCCCGGUGUAGCGGUGAAAUGCGUAGAGAUCGGGAAGAACAUCGGUGGCGAAAGCGCUCUACUGGAGAGCAACUGACACUCAGGGACGAAAGCUAGGGGAGCGAAUGGGAUUAGAUACCCCAGUAGUCCUAGCCGUAAACGAUGGAUACUAGGCGUGGCUCGUAUCGACCCGAGCCGUGCCGUAGCUAACGCGUUAAGUAUCCCGCCUGGGGAGUACGCACGCAAGUGUGAAACUCAAAGGAAUUGACGGGGGCCCGCACAAGCGGUGGAGUAUGUGGUUUAAUUCGAUGCAACGCGAAGAACCUUACCAGGGCUUGACAUGUCCCGGAACCCUGCUGAAAGUGGGGGUGCCUUCGGGAGCCGAACACUGGUGCAUGGCUGUCGUCAGCUCGUGUCUGAGAUGUUGGGUUAAGUCCCGCAAC